CAGGCUUAACACAUGCAAGUCGAGGGGCAGCAUGGUCUUAGCUUGCUAAGGCCGAUGGCGACCGGCGCACGGGUGAGUAACACGUAUCCAACCUGCCGUCUACUCUUGGACAGCCUUCUGAAAGGAAGAUUAAUACAAGAUGGCAUCAUGAGUCCGCAUGUUCACAUGAUUAAAGGUAUUCCGGUAGACGAUGGGGAUGCGUUCCAUUAGAUAGUAGGCGGGGUAACGGCCCACCUAGUCUUCGAUGGAUAGGGGUUCUGAGAGGAAGGUCCCCCACAUUGGAACUGAGACACGGUCCAAACUCCUACGGGAGGCAGCAGUGAGGAAUAUUGGUCAAUGGGCGAGAGCCUGAACCAGCCAAGUAGCGUGAAGGAUGACUGCCUUAUGGGUUGUAAACUUCUUUUAUAAAGGAAUAAAGUCGGGUAUGGAUACCCGUUUGCAUGUACUUUAUGAAUAAGGAUCGGCUAACUCCGUGCCAGCAGCCGCGGUAAUACGGAGGAUUCGAGCGUUAUCCGGAUUUAUUGGGUUUAAAGGGAGCGUAGAUGGAUGUUUAAGUCAGUUGUGAAAGUUUGCGGCUCAACCGUAAAAUUGCAGUUGAUACUGGAUAUCUUGAGUGCAGUUGAGGCAGGCGGAAUUCGUGGUGUAGCGGUGAAAUGCUUAGAUAUCACGAAGAACUCCGAUUGCGAAGGCAGCCUGCUAAGCUGCAACUGACAUUGAGGCUCGAAAGUGUGGGUAUCAAACAGGAUUAGAUACCCUGGUAGUCCACACGGUAAACGAUGAAUACUCGCUGUUUGCGAUAUACGGCAAGCGGCCAAGCGAAAGCGUUAAGUAUUCCACCUGGGGAGUACGCCGGCAACAGUGAAACUCAAAGGAAUUGACGGGGGCCCGCACAAGCGGAGGAACAUGUGGUUUAAUUCGAUGAUACGCGAGGAACCUUACCCGGGCUUAAAUUGCAGAUGAAUUACGGUGAAAGCCGUAAGCCGCAAGGCAUCUGUGAAGGUGCUGCAUGGUUGUCGUCAGCUCGUGCCGUGAGGUGUCGGCUUAAGUGCCAUAACGAGCGCAACCCUUGUUGUCAGUUACUAACAGGUUCUGCUGAGGACUCUGACAAGACUGCCAUCGUAAGAUGUGAGGAAGGUGGGGAUGACGUCAAAUCAGCACGGCCCUUACGUCCGGGGCUACACACGUGUUACAAUGGGGGGUACAGAGGGCCGCUACCACGCGAGUGGAUGCCAAUCCCAAAAACCUCUCUCAGUUCGGACUGGAGUCUGCAACCCGACUCCACGAAGCUGGAUUCGCUAGUAAUCGCGCAUCAGCCACGGCGCGGUGAAUACGUUCCCGGGCCUUGUACACACCGCCCGUCAAGCCAUGGGAGCCGGGGGUACCUGAAGUGCGUAACCGCGAGGAGCGCCCUAGGGUAAAACUGGUGACUGGGGCUAAGUCAUAAC
This 1445-nucleotide ribosomal RNA is filed under the name uncultured organism. Its description in RNAcentral is "16S ribosomal RNA". It matches the Rfam family "Bacterial small subunit ribosomal RNA". The record is from RNAcentral.